Sander lucioperca (pikeperch) is the source of this 212-nucleotide long non-coding RNA. RefSeq lists it as uncharacterized. The record is from RefSeq and is a predicted model, not a curated record. The transcript is spliced from 2 exons. NCBI's taxonomy places the organism in Eukaryota, Metazoa, Chordata, Actinopteri, Perciformes, Percidae.
UGAGAGUUGUAUUGAUCUCAACAAUAACUCUCAGAGAGAAAUCUAAUUAUUGUGUUAAUAUUUUAUCAGAUGCGUGGGCGCUGUUUAUAACAGAUAGUAUUCAGUAAACUAAAAUGGGAAAGAUUUACUGAUUUGUUUUUGUCCAGCUCAGUGAACCAGUUUCUGUCUAAUUUUAAACCCAAAUGUGAACUGUUCCCUAACUCUUCAGAUAA